RNAcentral lists this ribosomal RNA (497 nucleotides) under uncultured bacterium. RNAcentral describes it as "partial 16S ribosomal RNA". It matches the Rfam family "Bacterial small subunit ribosomal RNA", at positions 28 to 507 of the family's 1533-position model. The record is from RNAcentral.
GAUGAACGCUGGCGGCGUGCCUAAUACAUGCGAGUCGAGCGAACGGACGCGACGCUUGCUUCUCUGAUGUUAGCGGCGGACGGGAGAGUAACACGUGGAUAACCUACCUAUAAGACUGGGAUAACUUCGGGAAACCGGAGCUUAUAGCGGAUAAUCUUUUGCACCGCGUGGGUCAAUAGUGAAAGACGGUCUUUGUGGCUCUUCUAGCUGCAUCCGAGCUGCAUUGGCUAGUCGGGAGGGUAACGGCUUACGAAGGCAACUAUGCAUAAACGACGGGAGAGGGUGGUAGGCGGCACUGGAAGUGGGACACGGUCCAUACGCCUGCGGGAGGCAGCAGUAGGGAAUCUUCCGCAGUGGUCGAGAGCCUGACGGAGCGACGCCGCGCGUGUGAUGAAGGUGUUCGGAUCGUAAAACUCUGUUAUUAGGUAAGAACAUAUUUGGCAUUAGCUGAGCAGAGCUUGACGGUACCUAAUCAGAAAGCAACGGCUAACUACGUG